GACGAACGCUGGCGGCGUGCUUAACACAUGCAAGUCGAACGAAGAGCGAUGGAAGCUUGCUUCUAUCAAUCUUAGUGGCGAACGGGUGAGUAACGCGUAAUCAACCUGCCCUUCAGAGGGGGACAACAGUUGGAAACGACUGCUAAUACCGCAUACGAUCUAACCUCGGCAUCGAGGAUAGAUGAACGGUGGCCUCUACAUGUAAGCUAUCACUGAAGGAGGGGAUUGCGUCUGAUUAGCUAGUUGGAGGGGUAACGGCCCACCAAGGCGAUGAUCAGUAGCCGGUCUGAGAGGAUGAACGGCCACAUUGGGACUGAGACACGGCCCAGACUCCUACGGGAGGCAGCAGUGGGGAAUCUUCCGCAAUGGACGAAAGUCUGACGGAGCAACGCCGCGUGAGUGAUGACGGCCUUCGGGUUGUAAAGCUCUGUUAAUCGGGACGAAAGGCCUUCUUGCGAAUAGUUAGAAGGAUUGACGGUACCGGAAUAGAAAGCCACGGCUAACUACGUG
This 510-nucleotide ribosomal RNA is filed under the name uncultured bacterium. RNAcentral's name for it is "partial 16S ribosomal RNA". It matches the Rfam family "Bacterial small subunit ribosomal RNA", at positions 28 to 507 of the family's 1533-position model. The record is from RNAcentral.